Ictidomys tridecemlineatus (thirteen-lined ground squirrel) is the source of this 362-nucleotide non-coding RNA. The record is from RefSeq and is a predicted model, not a curated record. Lineage: Eukaryota; Metazoa; Chordata; Mammalia; Rodentia; Sciuridae.
AGGCUGGCUUUGAACUCUCGAUCCUUCUGCCUCCUGAGCUGCUGAGAUGACAGUGGAAGCCAGUCACCAUAUCUGACCUGCCCGGUGGGAGGACCACAUGGCCACACACCAAGGAAGGCCUCUGCCCAGCAGCCAGUGCAGAACUGAGGUCUUAAGUCAACUGGCUCACUAGGAAGUACAUCCUGUCAACAAUGACUUAUUUAGGUCUAUAUUGAAGCCAGUCUCCAAGGAGGAGCUGGACCACAAGCCGUUGUGUCCUGAAAUCGACACUCCUGUGUAGUGUGCCUGCUAUGGUUUGGAUACGAGGUGUCCCCAAAAGCUCACGUGUGAGACGGUGCAGGAAGGUCCAGAGGAGACAUGAC